RNAcentral lists this ribosomal RNA (478 nucleotides) under Bacillus subtilis. RNAcentral describes it as "bacterial SSU rRNA". It matches the Rfam family "Bacterial small subunit ribosomal RNA", at positions 413 to 880 of the family's 1533-position model. The record is from RNAcentral. Lineage: Bacteria; Bacillati; Bacillota; Bacilli; Caryophanales; Bacillaceae.
GGUUUUCGGAUCGUAAAGCUCUGUUGUUAGGGAAGAACAAGUACCGUUCGAAUAGGGCGGUACCUUGACGGUACCUAACCAGAAAGCCACGGCUAACUACGUGCCAGCAGCCGCGGUAAUACGUAGGUGGCAAGCGUUGUCCGGAAUUAUUGGGCGUAAAGGGCUCGCAGGCGGUUUCUUAAGUCUGAUGUGAAAGCCCCCGGCUCAACCGGGGAGGGUCAUUGGAAACUGGGGAACUUGAGUGCAGAAGAGGAGAGUGGAAUUCCACGUGUAGCGGUGAAAUGCGUAGAGAUGUGGAGGAACACCAGUGGCGAAGGCGACUCUCUGGUCUGUAACUGACGCUGAGGAGCGAAAGCGUGGGGAGCGAACAGGAUUAGAUACCCUGGUAGUCCACGCCGUAUACGAUGAGUGCUAAGUGUUAGGGGGUUUCCGCCCCUUAUUGCUGCAGCUGAGGCAUUAAGCACUCCGCCGUGGGGAG